AGAAUCAACGCUGGCGGCGUGCCUAACACAUGCAAGUCGAACGAGAAAGUGGAGCAAUCCAUGAGUAAAGUGGCGACCGGGUGAGUAACACGUGACUAACCUACCUUCGAGUGGGGGAUAACCUCGGGAAACCGAGGCUAAUACCGCAUAACAUCGCAAGAUCAAAGCAGCAAUGCGCUGGAAGAGGGGGUCGCGGCUGAUUAGCUAGUUGACGGGGUAACGGCCCACCAAGGCGAAGAUCGGUA
Molecule: ribosomal RNA, 245 nt
Filed under: uncultured bacterium
Lineage: Bacteria
Description: partial small subunit ribosomal RNA
Rfam family: Bacterial small subunit ribosomal RNA
Source: RNAcentral